AGAGCGAACGCUGGCGGCAGGCCUAACACAUGCAAGUCGAGCGGCCGUAGCAAUACGGCAGCGGCAGACGGGAUAGUAACACGUGGGAACGCGCCCUUCGGUUCGGAAUAACUCAGGGAAACUUGAGCUAAUACCGGAUACGCCCUUACGGGGAAAGAUUUAUUGCCGAAGGAACGGCCCGCGUCCGAUUAGCUAGUUGGUGAGGUAAUGGCUCACCAAGGCUCCGAUCGGUAGCUGGUCUGAGAGGAUGACCAGCAUCACUGGGACUGAGACACGGCCCAGACUCCUACGGGAGGCAGCAGUGGGGAAUAUUGGACAAUGGGCGCAAGCCUGAUCCAGCCAUGCCGCGUGGAUGAUGAAGGCCUUAGGUUGUAAGUCCUUUUAACGGGGAAGAUAAUGACGGUACCGUAGAAUAAGCCCGGCUAACUUCGUGCCAGCAGCCGC
RNAcentral lists this ribosomal RNA (444 nucleotides) under uncultured bacterium. Its description in RNAcentral is "SSU rRNA". It matches the Rfam family "Bacterial small subunit ribosomal RNA", at positions 26 to 518 of the family's 1533-position model. The record is from RNAcentral.